RNAcentral lists this long non-coding RNA (1194 nucleotides) under Setaria viridis. Its description in RNAcentral is "long non-coding RNA (SVIR_LNC000732)". Lineage: Eukaryota; Viridiplantae; Streptophyta; Magnoliopsida; Poales; Poaceae. The record is from RNAcentral.
UCGAGAGCUGAUGAUGAUCAAAAGGUAAGGGUAGGAAGGAACUAGUGGUCUGAUCCUUGAACUAGAGGAUGUGAUAAACUAGGGGUCCUUAGACGCAAGCGCUGAAGGGUUCCCAAGUUUUACAUACACCCUCGAGUUGAAGAAAAGAUCACAGCCAAGCCCUUGGGCGAGGCGGAUAAGGGUCGGCAGAACAGACAGGGUCGGGCGAGACGGAACUGGGGUCGGGCGGAUAGGAGGGGUCGGGCGAGGCGGACUGGGGUCGGCAACUCACCUUCUUCCUGAAAGGAAAACGUGGGGUCGGGAAGAAGCAGACUUGGGCGGAGGGACUAAAGCUUCGAGCAAGGGCUAAGACUGGCAAUGCUCCGGCAGCGGCGCUGCUUCUUGCGGAUCACAAGAGAGCUUGGACGCAGCACGGAGGAGCAAGCGGCUCGGUGACUUAGGGAGAACUGAGAGAGACUCCUCAAGAACUGGGUGGGUGGCGCUAGGAGCUUGAGCAGGGAGCUAGAGAAGGCUAAGGGCAACAAGAGCGGAGGGAAACUCCGGCGACGGGGGCAUUCCUUUUAUAGCUGCUGGAGUAGAGGGAAGGAAAUGGCGCAGAGAGAGAGAAGGGGAGCGGCGCGAAGGCCGGGAAGAAGCAAUGGAGUGCUCUGCCGGGGCGGCGAUUGAGCAAAGAGGGCGGUGGUGCAGAACUCUGGGGGUGACACCAGCGAUCAUUGCGUUCUGCCGUCAGGGCGGCGUAGGGGCGGGUAGACUGGUGGUUGAGAUUUGGCGGAAAGCGGGCGUCGUCGUGCGGAAGAGGCGAUAGAAGCGACCGGUUUAACGGCGCUAGAAUCGAGGGCGCACAGGUGAGAAGACAGGUGGACGCGGGCGCGGGGGAGAGCGCGGAACAACAGAUUGUCGGGCGGCGUCUGACAGAGCGGGGAAAGGAACUGUCGCGGCCGCGGUCGGGGUUGGCGGUGGAGGAAUCAUCGUGUAGCGGCGACCGGGCGGCGCAACUGUGGCUGAAGGGACGGAAAAGACGGGCGACAUCGGGCUCUGGGGCCGGGAUCUGGUGGCGUGAUGAUGGGCGCGGGAGACGAGGUUCUGCAGAAAGGGGUGCAGAGGGCUUCCGCUGCUAUUGGGGAAAGGGGGCGCGGGAACCCACUCUGUUGCUUGCCAGAGAUAAAACUGAGCGAUGGCGUCGGAGAAGACGAG